Non-coding RNA from Piloderma croceum F 1598, 46 nucleotides. The record is from Rfam. Lineage: Eukaryota; Fungi; Basidiomycota; Agaricomycetes; Atheliales; Atheliaceae.
CGUUUGGUUUCUCUAGAAACCACACAUUAAGAUUAUGCAAUUCUGU